Molecule: ribosomal RNA, 133 nt
Filed under: uncultured bacterium
Lineage: Bacteria
Description: partial 16S ribosomal RNA
Source: RNAcentral
GUAGUUAGCCGCCCCUUAUUCCUGAGGUACCGUCAGAACUUCUUCCCUCAGAAAAGCAGUUUACGCCCCGAAAGGUGUCAUCCUGCACGCGGGAUUGCUCCAUCAGGCUUUCGCCCAUUGUGGAAAAUUCCUC